Molecule: ribosomal RNA, 253 nt
Filed under: Desmonostoc salinum
Lineage: Bacteria; Bacillati; Cyanobacteriota; Cyanophyceae; Nostocales; Nostocaceae
Also listed under: 1 other name
Description: partial 16S ribosomal RNA
Rfam family: Bacterial small subunit ribosomal RNA
Source: RNAcentral
UACGGAGGAUGCAAGCGUUAUCCGGAAUGAUUGGGCGUAAAGCGUCCGCAGGUGGCUGUGUAAGUCUGCUGUCAAAGAGCAAAGCUCAACUUUGUAAAGGCAGUGGAAACUACACGGCUAGAGUGCGUUCGGGGCAGAGGGAAUUCCUGGUGUAGCGGUGAAAUGCGUAGAGAUCAGGAAGAACACCGGUGGCGAAGGCGCUCUGCUAGGCCGCAACUGACACUGAGGGACGAAAGCUAGGGGAGCGAAUGGG